RNAcentral lists this ribosomal RNA (438 nucleotides) under Pseudomonas fluorescens. Its description in RNAcentral is "bacterial SSU rRNA". It matches the Rfam family "Bacterial small subunit ribosomal RNA", at positions 39 to 479 of the family's 1533-position model. The record is from RNAcentral. Lineage: Bacteria; Pseudomonadati; Pseudomonadota; Gammaproteobacteria; Pseudomonadales; Pseudomonadaceae.
GGGGAACAGAAGGCCUAGACAUGCAGUCGAGCGGUAUAGAGAAUAUUGCUUCUCUUGAGAGCGGCGGACGGGUGAGUAAAGCCUAGGAAUCUGCCUGGUAGUGGGGGAUAACGCUCGGAAACGGACGCUAAUACCGCAUACGUCCUACGGGAGAAAGCAGGGGACCUUCGGGCCUUGCGCUAUCAGAUGAGCCUAGGUCGGAUUAGCUAGUUGGUGAGGUAAUGGCUCACCAAGGCGACGAUCCGUAACUGGUCUGAGAGGAUGAUCAGUCACACUGGAACUGAGACACGGUCCAGACUCCUACGGGAGGCAGCAGUGGGGAAUAUUGGACAAUGGGCGAAAGCCUGAUCCAGCCAUGCCGCGUGUGUGAAAAAGGUCUUCCUAUUGUACGGCACUUUACCUUGGUAUUAAGGACAUUACCUGACUACAGCCGGUGCC